Molecule: RNase P RNA, 385 nt
Filed under: Gemmatimonadota bacterium
Lineage: Bacteria; Pseudomonadati; Gemmatimonadota
Description: Gemmatimonadetes bacterium RNase P RNA component class A
Rfam family: Bacterial RNase P class A
About the family: Ribonuclease P (RNase P) is a ubiquitous endoribonuclease, found in archaea, bacteria and eukarya as well as chloroplasts and mitochondria. Its best characterised activity is the generation of mature 5'-ends of tRNAs by cleaving the 5'-leader elements of precursor-tRNAs.
Source: RNAcentral
GCAAAUGGUCGGACGAUCGCGGAUAGUAUCGCAAUGAUACUUAUUCGAGGAAAGUCCGGGCUCCAGUGGACAGGCUGCCAGGUAACUCCUGGGCACAGGUGGCGAGAGUCGCCCGUGACGGACAGUGCCACAGAGAACAGACCGCCAUCUUUCGGGACGGCAAGGGUGAAACGGUGGAGUAAGAGCCCACCGCGCUCAUGGUAACGUGAGCGGCACGGCAAACCCCGGCUGGAGCAAGGCCAAAUAUGCGGCGAGAGGCGUCCACCUCGAUCAAGACACCGCGGGUAGGCUGCUAGAGAGCAUGGGCGACCAUGUUCGAAGAGAAAUGAUCGUCCGGAUUGCGCGAGUAAUCCGACAGAACCCGGCUUACAGACCAUUUGCCAAC